RNAcentral lists this ribosomal RNA (499 nucleotides) under uncultured Actinomycetes bacterium. RNAcentral describes it as "bacterial SSU rRNA". It matches the Rfam family "Bacterial small subunit ribosomal RNA", at positions 8 to 522 of the family's 1533-position model. Lineage: Bacteria; Bacillati; Actinomycetota; Actinomycetes. The record is from RNAcentral.
AGAGUUUGAUCCUGGCUCAGGACGAACGCUGGCGGCGUGCUUAACACAUGCAAGUCGAACGGAAAGGCCCCUUCGGGGGUGCUCGAGUGGCGAACGGGUGAGUAACACGUGGGUGAUCUGCCCUGCACUUUGGGAUAAGCCUGGGAAACUGGGUCUAAUACCGGAUAGGACCACGGUCUGCAUGGGCUGUGGUGGAAAGCUUUUGCGGUGUGGGAUGGGCCCGCGGCCUAUCAGCUUGUUGGUGGGGUGAUGGCCCACCAAGGCGACGACGGGUAGCCGGCCUGAGAGGGUGUCCGGCCACACUGGGACUGAGAUACGGCCCAGACUCCUACGGGAGGCAGCAGUGGGGAAUAUUGCACAAUGGGCGCAAGCCUGAUGCAGCGACGCCGCGUGAGGGAUGACGGCCUUCGGGUUGUAAACCUCUUUCAAUGCCGACGAAGCGCAAGUGACGGUAGGCGUAGAAGAAGCACCGGCUAACUACGUGCCAGCAGCCGCGGUA